Molecule: ribosomal RNA, 435 nt
Filed under: uncultured bacterium
Lineage: Bacteria
Description: partial 16S ribosomal RNA
Rfam family: Bacterial small subunit ribosomal RNA
Source: RNAcentral
AACGAACGCUGGCGGCAGGCCUAACACAUGCAAGUCGAGCGGACAUCUUCGGAUGUUAGCGGCGGACAGGUGAGUAACGCGUGGGAACGUGCCCUUUGCUUCGGAAUAGCCUCGGGAAACUGGGAGUAAUACCGGAUGUACCCUUUGGGGGAAAGAUUUAUCGGCAAAGGAUCGGCCCGCGUUGGAUUAGGUAGUUGGUGGGGUAAUGGCCUACCAAGCCGACGAUCCAUAGCUGGUUUGAGAGGAUGAUCAGCCACACUGGGACUGAGACACGGCCCAGACUCCUACGGGAGGCAGCAGUGGGGAAUCUUAGACAAUGGGGGAAACCCUGAUCUAGCCAUGCCGCGUGAGCGAUGAAGGCCUUAGGGUUGUAAAGCUCUUUCACCGGGGAAGAUAAUGACGGUACCCGGAGAAGAAGCCCCGGCUAACUCCGUG